GAUGAACGCUGGCGGCGUGCCUAAUACAUGCAAGUCGAGCGAACGGACGAGAAGCUUGCUUCUCUGAUGUUAGCGGCGGACGGGUGAGUAACACGUGGAUAACCUACCUAUAAGACUGGGAUAACUUCGGGAAACCGGAGCUAAUACCGGAUGAUAUUUUGAACCGCAUGGUUCAAAAGUGAAAGACGGUCUUGCUGUCACUUAUAGAUGGAUCCGCGCUGCAUUAGCUAGUUGGUAAGGUAACGGCUUACCAAGGCAACGAUGCAUAGCCGACCUGAGAGGGUGAUCGGCCACACUGGAACUGAGACACGGUCCAGACUCCUACGGGAGGCAGCAGUAGGGAAUCUUCCGCAAUGGGCUAAAGCCUGACGGAGCAACGCCGCGUGAGUGAUGAAGGUCUUCGGAUCGUAAAACUCUGUUAUUAGGGAAGAACAUAUGUGUAAGUAACUGUGCACAUCUUGACGGUACCUAAUCAGAAAGCCACGGCUAACUACGU
RNAcentral lists this ribosomal RNA (496 nucleotides) under uncultured bacterium. RNAcentral's name for it is "partial 16S ribosomal RNA". It matches the Rfam family "Bacterial small subunit ribosomal RNA", at positions 28 to 506 of the family's 1533-position model. The record is from RNAcentral.